This 381-nucleotide ribosomal RNA is filed under the name uncultured bacterium. Its description in RNAcentral is "bacterial SSU rRNA". It matches the Rfam family "Bacterial small subunit ribosomal RNA", at positions 28 to 409 of the family's 1533-position model. The record is from RNAcentral.
GAUGAACGCUAGCGGCAGGCUUAAUACAUGCAAGUCGAGGGGUAACACGGGUAGCAAUAUCUGGUGACGACCGGCAAACGGGUGCGGAACACGUACAGAACCUUCCUUUAAGCGGGGGAUAGCCCAUAGAAAUGUGGAUUAAUACCCCAUAGUAAUAUUGUCUGGCAUCAGAUGGUAUUUAAAGAUUUAUCACUUAAAGAUGGCUGUGCGGCUGAUUAGGUAGUUGGUGCGGGAACGGCCCACCAAGCCAGCGAUCAGUAACUGGUGUGAGAGCACGACCAGUCACACGGGCACUGAGACACGGGCCCGACUCCUACGGGAGCAGCAGUAAGGAUAUGGUCAAUGGACGCAAGUCUGAACCAGCCAUGCCGCGUGAAGGAU